Molecule: ribosomal RNA, 412 nt
Filed under: uncultured Pseudomonas sp.
Lineage: Bacteria; Pseudomonadati; Pseudomonadota; Gammaproteobacteria; Pseudomonadales; Pseudomonadaceae
Description: bacterial SSU rRNA
Rfam family: Bacterial small subunit ribosomal RNA
Source: RNAcentral
GGCCUUGACAUGCAGAGAACUUUCCAGAGAUGGAUUGGUGCCGUUCGGGAACUCUGACACGAGGUGCUGCAGGGGGUGCUGUCGUCAGCUCGUGUCGUGAGAUGUUGGGUUAAGUCCCGUAACGAGCGCAACCCUUGUCCUUAGUUACCAGCACGUUAUGGUGGGCACUCUAAGGAGACUGCCGGUGACAAACCGGAGGAAGGUGGGGAUGACGUCAAGUCAUCAUGGCCCUUACGGCCUGGGCUACACACGUGCUACAAUGGUCGGUACAAAGGGUUGCCAAGCCGCGAGGUGGAGCUAAUCCCAUAAAACCGAUCGUAGUCCGGAUCGCAGUCUGCAACUCGACUGCGUGAAGUCGGAAUCGCUAGUAAUCGUGAAUCAGAAUGUCACGGUGAAUACGUUCCCGGGCCUU